AUUGAACGCUGGCGGCAUGCCUUACACAUGCAAGUCGAACGGUAACAGGUCUUCGGAUGCUGACGAGUGGCGAACGGGUGGGUAAUACAUCGGAACGUGCCCGAUCGUGGGGGAUAACGAGGCUAAAGCUUUGCUAAUACCGCAUACGAUCUACGGAUGAGAGCGGGGGAUCUUCGGACCUCGCGUGGGCGGAGCGGCCUGUGGCAGUGUAGGUAGUUGGUGGGGUAAAAGGUUACCAAGCCCACGAUCUGUAGCUGUUCUGAGAGGAUGAUCAGCCACACUGGGACUGAGACACGGCCCAGACUCCUACGGGAGGCAGCAGUGGGGAAUUGUGGACAAUGGGCGAAAGCCUGAUACAGCCAUGCCGAGUGUAGGAUGACGGCCUUUGGGUUGUAAACUGCUUUUGUACGGAACGAAAAGCCUCUUUCUAAUAAAGAGGGGUCAUGACGGUACCGGAAGAAUAAGCACCGGCUAACUACGUG
Molecule: ribosomal RNA, 482 nt
Filed under: uncultured bacterium
Lineage: Bacteria
Description: partial 16S ribosomal RNA
Rfam family: Bacterial small subunit ribosomal RNA
Source: RNAcentral